Molecule: non-coding RNA, 75 nt
Organism: Danionella cerebrum
Lineage: Eukaryota; Metazoa; Chordata; Actinopteri; Cypriniformes; Danionidae
Source: the annotation of a GenBank genome assembly
UCUUUACUGCGGCUCGGUUGGUAGAGAAUUGCGCUGAAAACGCAAAGGUUGUGGGUUCAAACCCCAGGGGAAGCA